ACAGGCUUCCCCAAACUCUGGCCCUCCAGAUGUUGCCGAACUACAACUCCCAUGAUUCUUUGAAUGAAAUAGAUAGGCUGAGAAUCAUAGGAGUUGUAGUUUAGCAACAUCUGGAGGGCUGGAGUUUGGGAAAGCCUGC
Molecule: non-coding RNA, 139 nt
Organism: Pelobates cultripes (western spadefoot toad)
Lineage: Eukaryota; Metazoa; Chordata; Amphibia; Anura; Pelobatidae
Source: the annotation of a GenBank genome assembly